GACGAACGCUGGCGGCGUGCUUAACACAUGCAAGUCGAACGGUGAACCGGGCUUCGGCCCGGGGAUCAGUGGCGAACGGGUGCGUAACACGUGGGCAACCUGCCUCAGACACUGGGAUAACCCCGGGAAACCGGGCUAAUACCGGAUACUCCGACCGGACUGCAUGAUCCGGCCGGGAAAGCUCCGACGGUCUGAGAUGGGCCCGCGGCCUAUCAGCUUGUUGGUGGGUAACGGCCCACCAAGGCGACGACGGGAGCUGGUCUGAGAGGACGACCAGCCACACUGGAACUGAGACACGGUCCAGACUCCUACGGGAGGCAGCAGUGGGAAUCUUGCGCAAUGGGCGAAAGCCUGACGCAGCGACGCCGCGUGGGGAUGAAGGCCCUCGGGUUCGUAACCCCUUUCGGCAGGGACGAAGCGAACGUGACGGUACCUGCAGAAGAGGUCCCGGCUAACUACGUGCCAG
RNAcentral lists this ribosomal RNA (466 nucleotides) under uncultured bacterium. RNAcentral's name for it is "bacterial SSU rRNA". It matches the Rfam family "Bacterial small subunit ribosomal RNA", at positions 28 to 511 of the family's 1533-position model. The record is from RNAcentral.